CCUACGGGAGGCUGCAGUAGGGAAUAUUGGGCAAUGGACGCAAGUCUGACCCAGCCACGCCGCGUGAAGGAUGACUGCCCUAUGGGUUGUAAACUUCUUUUGUAUGGGAAGAAACCUCCGAACGUGUUCGGAGCUGACGGUACCAUAAGAAUAAGCAUCGGCUAACUCCGUGCCAGCAGCCGCGGUAAUACGGAGGAUGCAAGCGUUGUCGGGUUUAAUGGGGUUUAAAGGGUGCGAUGGCGGAGGAUUAGAAAGCUCGCAGCUUAACUGUGAAAAUGCCAUUGAAACUGAUUUUCUUGAGUUCGAUUGAGGUAGAUGGAAUGUAUCAUGUAGCGGUGAAAUGCUUAGAUAUGAUACAGAACACCAAUUGCGAAGGCAGUCUACUAAGUCGAUACUGACGCUGAGGCACGAAAGCAUGGGGAGCAAACAGGAUUAGAUACCCUUGUAGUC
RNAcentral lists this ribosomal RNA (450 nucleotides) under uncultured bacterium. RNAcentral describes it as "partial 16S ribosomal RNA". It matches the Rfam family "Bacterial small subunit ribosomal RNA", at positions 338 to 795 of the family's 1533-position model. The record is from RNAcentral.